RNAcentral lists this long non-coding RNA (694 nucleotides) under Sinocyclocheilus grahami. RNAcentral describes it as "lncRNA (ENSSGRG00000035688.1)". The record is from RNAcentral. Lineage: Eukaryota; Metazoa; Chordata; Actinopteri; Cypriniformes; Cyprinidae.
AACUGAAUGAGCUAACAAAGGUUUUGUGCGCUAUUUCAAAGAUUACAACUAUGAAUGGCUAACAGCUAGCACCAAGCACAAGAAGUUAUUUGGCCAUGUUUACUUUUUAAUACGAGUAAAGGGACAUGGAAUGACAGACGCAUGGACUUUCUUUACAAGUGACAGGUGGAUGACAGCAUGACGGUGAAAGUGAGCAUUGCUGCAAGAGUGUGGCAUGAAAUGAGAGCUGCUGGAUGCUGACCAUCUCCCUCAGCUGUGUCUUUAGGAAUUGAAAGCAACCAAAAGACGAGGAACCUUGGCAGCUGUUGCUGGAGAAGUCAAAGUUUCCGCUACUUCAUUAUCACUUAUUGCCAAAUUACCUCAGAAUGCGACCGUCGCAAUUCGCCCCCUAGUGGCAUUUUUAAUAAACGAUUAAUUUGUUUGUGAAGCUGACAAUUUAUCCAAACAGACCUGUGGUGUUUCGGUUUUCGUUUCCAAUACAGAAACAGGACUGAAAGGCAUUUUCCUCCUCUUAUUGACCAUGGUGGAAUGAAUGAAGAAUAAAUUAAUAGCUAUAAAUCAAAUGACCACCAAUACUUUUUGCCUAAAGCUGCAUUUUUAAGCAACUUAAAUAUUUAUAAUGUUAGACUCUACAGAAGAAACAAGUAGUGUGUUUUCAGUUUUUCAUUUUUUUUUGGAUAAUUUUCACCUUGCG